Molecule: ribosomal RNA, 497 nt
Filed under: uncultured bacterium
Lineage: Bacteria
Description: partial 16S ribosomal RNA
Rfam family: Bacterial small subunit ribosomal RNA
Source: RNAcentral
GAUGAACGCUGGCGGCGUGCCUAAUACAUGCAAGUCGAGCGAACAGAUGAGGAGCUUGCUCCUCUGACGUUAGCGGCGGACGGGUGAGUAACACGUGGAUAACCUACCUAUAAGACUGGGAUAACUUCGGGAAACCGGAGCUAAUACCGGAUAAUAUAUUGAACCGCAUGGUUCAAUAGUGAAAGACGGUUUUGCUGUCACUUAUAGAUGGAUCCGCGCCGCAUUAGCUAGUUGGUAAGGUAACGGCUUACCAAGGCAACGAUGCGUAGCCGACCUGAGAGGGUGAUCGGCCACACUGGAACUGAGGCACGGUCCAGACUCCUACGGGAGGCAGCAGUAGGGAAUCUUCCGCAAUGGGCGAAAGCCUGACGGAGCAACGCCGCGUGAGUGAUGAAGGUCUUCGGAUCGUAAAACUCUGUUAUUGGGGAAGAACAAAUGUGUAAGUAACUAUGCACGUCUUGACGGUACCUAAUCAGAAAGCCACGGCUAACUACGUG